This 492-nucleotide long non-coding RNA is filed under the name Homo sapiens (human). Its description in RNAcentral is "HSALNT0192184". Lineage: Eukaryota; Metazoa; Chordata; Mammalia; Primates; Hominidae. The record is from RNAcentral.
CCAGUUUCUUAUUGGAUUCACUCACAGGCAGAAAUGUUCUUAAUGCCUCUCAGGAUUCCUUCAGCAGCUGCAGCCUGGCUGUCUCUUUUUGGAUAUGGAUACAACACAUUCAUUUGGCACUUCAGAAGUUAAAUUAGUUCAAUAACUCUAUGGUGUGCCUCAACUUACAAAAGGUCUGGAGAGUCAAUAAAACACCCAAGGUAAUUACAAUACUUGCCUUAUACCCACCAAAUUUAAAAGGCAGUUAUCCUGUACAAAAUUAUGCUCCCAAAACUCAGUAGUAUUUAUUGCCAAAGACUACAUGUAGCAGAAACUCUAUAGCAGGAACUCAUGAAUCAGUAGGAAGGAAGAUAACCGGUGAUGGCUUUAGCCUUAUCAGAAUGCCAGUCACAUGAGCUGCACACUUAAACUAAGUUGGAAGAAAUUUGUCAGCAACAAGUUAAACUUUUCACCAUGCAUUUAGCAUGGUACUCUAUCUUCUCUUUCAGAAAG